UCUACAUGAUUCUUGUCAGGAAGCUGACCAGAAGGGUAAGAAAAGUACUUAGUCCAGCAUUGCUUGGUCAUUAUUGACUGUCCUGCAGAAGCUUGACUACUAACCUAAGACUCAAGUCAAUUGGAUCUGCUCAUUUAGCAAAUAGAGAAAGCGUUGAACUUUUAAGAAC
RNAcentral lists this long non-coding RNA (169 nucleotides) under Sarcophilus harrisii (Tasmanian devil). RNAcentral's name for it is "lncRNA (ENSSHAG00000028864.1)". Lineage: Eukaryota; Metazoa; Chordata; Mammalia; Dasyuromorphia; Dasyuridae. The record is from RNAcentral.